GACGAACGCUGGCGGCGUGCCUAAUACAUACAAGUCGAGCGCACGAAAUCGACGGAACCCUUCGGGGGGAAGUCGACGGAAUGAGCGGCGGACGGGUGAGUAACACGUAAAGAACCUGCCCUCAGGUCUGGGAUAACCACGAGAAAUCGGGGCUAAUACCGGAUGGGUCAUCGGACCGCAUGGUCCGAGGAUGAAAGGCGCUUCGGCGUCGCCUGGGGAUGGCUUUGCGGUGCAUUAGCUAGUUGGUGGGGUAAUGGCCCACCAAGGCGACGAUGGAAAGCAGACCGGAGGGGGUGAUCGGCCACACUGGGACUGAGACACGGCCCAGACUCCUACGGGAGGCAGCAGUAGGGAAUCUUCCACAAUGGACGAAAGUCUGAUGGGGCAACGCCGCGUGAACGAUGAAGGCCUUCGGGUCGUAAAGUUCUGUUGUAAGGGAAGAACAAGUGCCGCAGGCAAUGGCGGCACCUUGACGGUACCUUGCGAGAAAGCCACGGCUAACUACGUGCCAGCCGCCGCCGUAA
This 524-nucleotide ribosomal RNA is filed under the name uncultured bacterium. RNAcentral describes it as "partial 16S ribosomal RNA". It matches the Rfam family "Bacterial small subunit ribosomal RNA", at positions 28 to 523 of the family's 1533-position model. The record is from RNAcentral.